UCUCCAUGUAAGAGCCUAGGAAAAGCUCAGUCUUUCAUCGGUCAUCAUCCUGACAUUAGGGUCUUUGAAAGCAUCGUUGACACUCAUGCACAUGAGUGCACAAACACCAUGAGAAGCCCAUGCUGUGAUUACUACCUACAGUCAUAAGGUCAAGCUGGUAAAUCAAACAGUCUUCCCAGUCGUUUCCAGUUCCCUACGGGACAUGAAAGGCCUGGACAACCAGCACACUGCCAAGCCCAUAGUGCUCCCGUAAACCUACAACCAGGGCCUCUGCUGGGAAUCAUGGCAGGAGACACUCCCCUUGGGCGGUGCCCCUUUGGAGAUGUACACUCAGCAGCAGCAGAGGAUCAAAGUCUGGUGGAGAAAAUAGAUCAGAUUAAUGAAGCCAAGCUGUUUCUUCAGCUCAGAGACAUGGAUGGUGAUCAGCAUGGCUAAAUCUGCACCUCUACAGAUUUUUGCAAUGUUACAGUUCUGUACUGGUACUGUAUGCUGUAAAGAAAAAGUGUCAUGGAUGAAACUGAAAUGGGCUAUGAAAUGCAGAACUUAAUUAAUGUAUUAAUAAGACGUUGUCAAAAACUAAAUUCUUUUUCUUCAAAUGUAA
Molecule: long non-coding RNA, 601 nt
Organism: Micropterus dolomieu (smallmouth bass)
Lineage: Eukaryota; Metazoa; Chordata; Actinopteri; Centrarchiformes; Centrarchidae
Exons: 2
Source: RefSeq, a predicted model, not a curated record